RNAcentral lists this ribosomal RNA (497 nucleotides) under uncultured bacterium. Its description in RNAcentral is "partial 16S ribosomal RNA". It matches the Rfam family "Bacterial small subunit ribosomal RNA", at positions 28 to 507 of the family's 1533-position model. The record is from RNAcentral.
GAUGAACGCUGGCGGCGUGCCUAAUACAUGCAAGUAGAACGCUGAAGGAAGGAGCUUGCUCUUUCCGGAUGAGUUGCGAACGGGUGAGAAACGCGUAGGUAACCUGCCUGGUAGCGGGGGAUAACUAUUGGAAACGAUAGCUAAUACCGCAUAACAGUAGAUGUUGCAUGAUAUCUACUUAAAAGGUGCAAUUGCACCACUACCAGAUGGACCUGCGUUGUAUUAGCUAGUUGGUGAGGUAACGGCUCACCAAGGCGACGAUACAUAGCCGACCUGAGAGGGUGAUCGGCCACACUGGGACUGAGACACGGCCCAGACUCCUACGGGAGGCAGCAGUAGGGAAUCUUCGGCAAUGGACGGAAGUCUGACCGAGCAACGCCGCGUGAGUGAAGAAGGUUUUCGGAUCGUAAAGCUCUGUUGUAAGAGAAGAACGAGUGUGAGAGUGGAAAGUUCACACUGUGACGGUAGCUUACCAGAAAGGGACGGCUAACUACGUG